RNAcentral lists this ribosomal RNA (795 nucleotides) under uncultured Jeotgalibacillus sp. Its description in RNAcentral is "bacterial SSU rRNA". It matches the Rfam family "Bacterial small subunit ribosomal RNA", at positions 40 to 817 of the family's 1533-position model. Lineage: Bacteria; Bacillati; Bacillota; Bacilli; Caryophanales; Caryophanaceae. The record is from RNAcentral.
CGGCGUGCCUAAUACAUGCAAGUCGAGCGCAAAGAUCAGGAGCUUGCUCCUGUGAUUUGAGCGGCGGACGGGUGAGUAACACGUAGGCAACCUACCCUUGAGAUUGGGAUAACUACCGGAAACGGUAGCUAAUACCGGAUACGACCUUUCCACAUAAGUGGAAUUGUUAAAAGGCGGAUUUAUCUGCCGCUCAUGGAUGGGCCUGCGGUGCAUUAGCUAGUUGGUGAGAUAGUAGCUCACCAAGGCGACGAUGCAUAGCCGACCUGAGAGGGUGAUCGGCCACACUGGGACUGAGACACGGCCCAGACUCCUACGGGAGGCAGCAGUAGGGAAUCUUCCGCAAUGGACGAAAGUCUGACGGAGCAACGCCGCGUGAGUGAUGAAGGGUUUCGGCUCGUAAAACUCUGUUGUUAAGGAAGAAUACUUGAGGUAGUAACUGGCCUUGAGAUGACGGUACUUAACCAGAAAGCCACGGCUAACUACGUGCCAGCAGCCGCGGUAAUACGUAGGUGGCAAGCGUUAUCCGGAAUUAUUGGGCGUAAAGCGCGCGUAGGCGGUAAAAUAAGUCUGAUGUGAAAGCCCCCGGCUCAACCGGGGAGGGUCAUUGGAAACUGUUUUACUUGAGUACAGAAGAGGAGAGUGGAAUUCCAUGUGUAGCGGUGAAAUGCGCAGAGAUAUGGAGGAACCCCGUGGCGAAAGGCGCUCUCUGGUCUGUUACUGACGCUGAGGUGCGAAAGCGUGGGGACCAAACAGGAUUAGAUACCCUGGUAGUCCACGCCGUAAACGAUGAGUGCU